This 408-nucleotide unclassified non-coding RNA is filed under the name soil metagenome. Its description in RNAcentral is "partial contains 5.8S ribosomal RNA, internal transcribed spacer 2, and large subunit ribosomal RNA". The stretch from base 1 to 120 matches the Rfam family "5.8S ribosomal RNA", at positions 35 to 154 of the family's 154-position model. The record is from RNAcentral.
GAUGAAGAACGCAGCGAAAUGCGAUAAGUAAUGUGAAUUGCAGAAUUCAGUGAAUCAUCGAAUCUUUGAACGCACCUUGCGCUCCUUGGCAUUCCGAGGAGCAUGCCUGUUUGAGUGUCAUUAAAUUCUCAAGACCUGUCUGCUUUUUUGAUAGGUAUUGGAUUUUGGGGGUUGCAGGCUGUUUCAAAUAAAUAGACUUGCUCUCCUUGAAUGUAUUAGUGGAGAAAAGCCAUUGAACUCCAUUGGUGUGAUAAAACCUAUCAAUGCCAGGAGCAAUAUCACUACUUCUCUCUGCUGUCUAACUGUGACUGUCUGUAUUAAUUAGUAUGGAUGGGGACAACUUGACCAACUUGACCUCAAAUCAGGUAGGACUACCCGCUGAACUUAAGCAUAUCAAUAAGCGGAGGA